Cyprinus carpio (common carp) is the source of this 1348-nucleotide RNA transcript. It is a transcript of the gene named patatin-like phospholipase domain-containing protein 2, with no coding region annotated. The transcript is spliced from 8 exons. NCBI's taxonomy places the organism in Eukaryota, Metazoa, Chordata, Actinopteri, Cypriniformes, Cyprinidae. The record is from RefSeq and is a predicted model, not a curated record.
UCAGUAAUGUAUCGCACUUUGCACUGCAUAACCUCAGGGAUUCAUAUGCUGAAGAAUAUGCAGGAAUCUUCUAAAGAAUGGAAUAUCUCUUUUGCUGGCUGUGGAUUUCUGAUGGCUUACUACUGUGGAGUCUAUAGCUGUUUAUUUGAACGGGCCCCGUUUCUUCUUAAGGGGGUGAAGAAGAUUUGUGGGGCUUCAUCUGGUGCUCUCAUGGGUGCAAUACUAGCAUGCCAAAUGUCUCCAGCCAAAUCCUGUGAAAAUUUGCUGGAAAUGUCUCGAGAGGCUCGGAAAGGCACUCUGGGUGCUGUGCAUCCCUCCUUCGACCUGCUGAAGAUAGUACGAAACUUCCUAAAUCAUGACCUGCCUGAAGAUGCCCACCUACUCGCCAGUGGACGACUGUUUGUGUCACUCACACGAGUGUCAGAUGGGACAAAUGUGUUGGUGUCUGAGUUCGACAGUAAAGAAGAUCUCAUUCAGGCUCUGAUUUGUAGCUGCUUUUAUCCACUGUACUGUGGUGUGAUACCUCCAAGAUAUCAUGGAAUAAGGUAUGUAGAUGGAGCAUUGAGUGAUAACAUGCCUUUCUCUGGUCUGAGGAACACAAUCACCAUCUCGCCUUUUUCUGGAGAGAGUGACAUCAGUCCUUAUGGCAGCCCUUUUUACUUUCAUGACAUUUACUACAAUAACGUCAGCAUUCACAUCAACUUCAUUAACGCACACCGAGUGGUCAUUGCAUUUUUUCCUCCAGAUCCAGAGGUCUUGGCUGAGAUGUGUCAAAGGAUAUAAGGAUGCUUUCCUUUUUUUAAAAGAAAAUGAACUCCUGAAGCUCACAUCGCCAAUGUCAGAGCUGACCCUAAUAGAAGAAUGGGAGAAUAUUCCAACACCUAAGAAAUAUAUAAGUGAAAACAAGCUAAGAGUGACUGGGAAUUCUAAAAAUGUCCUUCCGGAGUCCAUCAAAAAAGUAUUUUGUAAGGCUAGCUUGAGGGAGGAUGAAGAAAUAAGAUGUUCUCUUUCAGUGAAGCUGGUUUACUGUCUAAUGUGGUGCAUUUGGCCGGUGGAGAUGGCAUACAUAAUGCUCUUAAGGCUUGUUGAGUGCACUCCAGAGAUGUGGUCAUAUCUGCUGUGGAUGUGGCAGAUGACAAUGAGAAUGAUUGGACAAAUAUUGAAGAAUGCUUUCUCAAGGUUUUAAAGAUAUUACAUAAUAACCCAAAUAUUAAAUGUGAUGUCCCUAAAUAAGACUUUCUGCCUUCAGUCACAUUCAGAAAUAUCCAACUCUUCACCAACUCACUUACCAGCACCACCUCUUUUUACAAACACUGUGUAAUUAUUUUGAAUAAAAAGGUUUCAAUAA